Molecule: ribosomal RNA, 387 nt
Filed under: Triticum aestivum (bread wheat)
Lineage: Eukaryota; Viridiplantae; Streptophyta; Magnoliopsida; Poales; Poaceae
Description: partial small subunit ribosomal RNA
Source: RNAcentral
AUGUUUAUGAAUGAAAGAAGGGAAAUAGAUGAAGUAUUCUUUAACCAGGGACCUAUUUUAAAACACAAUUUGCCUGUUGAAAUUCUAGGGGAUCCUCCUCCACCCAAGGGCGAUCCCAUAUUUGAGCUUAAACCACUACCUGAUACUCUCAAAUAUGCUUAUCUUAAUGAAAAGAAGAUAUAUUCUGUUAUUAUCAGUGCUAACCUUUCUGAGCAAGAAGAAGAGAAAUUAUUGAAAACUCUGAAGAAGCACCGUGCUGCUAUUGGAUGUACUCUUGAUGAUCUUAAGGGCAUUAGUCCCACUCUAUGCCAACACAAAAUAAAAUUUGAGAAAUACGCUAAACCGGUUGUUGAUCACCAACAAAGGUUAAAUCCUAAGAUGAAAUAA